GACGAACGCUGGCGGCGUGCUUAACACAUGCAAGUCGAACGGGCCUUGUCCCCUUUUUUUUUGGGGGUGGGGUUAGUGGCGAACGGGUGAGUAACACGUGAGUAACCUGCCCCUCACUUCUGGAUAACCGCUUGAAAGGGUGGCUAAUACGGGGUGUUCUGGCCUGCUCGCAUGGGCGGGUUUGGAAAGAUUCGACCGGUUUUGGUUGUGUUGGUGGGGGAUGGGCUCGCGGCCUAUCAGCUUGUUGGUGGGGUGAUGGCCUGCCAAGGCUUUGACGGGUAGCCGGCCUGAGAGGGUGGGCGGUCACACUGGGACUGAGACACGGCCCAGACUCCUACGGGAGGCAGCAGUGGGGAAUAUUGCACAAUGGGCGCAAGCCUGAUGCAGCGACGCCGCGUGAGGGAUGGAGGCCUUCGGGUUGUGAACCUCUUUCGCCAGUGAAGAAGGUCCUGCUCUUUGUGGUGGGGUUGACGGUAGCUGGGUUAAUGAAGCGCCGGCUAACUACGUG
Molecule: ribosomal RNA, 508 nt
Filed under: uncultured bacterium
Lineage: Bacteria
Description: partial 16S ribosomal RNA
Rfam family: Bacterial small subunit ribosomal RNA
Source: RNAcentral